This 70-nucleotide transfer RNA is filed under the name Ceratophora stoddartii. RNAcentral describes it as "tRNA-Ile". The record is from RNAcentral. Lineage: Eukaryota; Metazoa; Chordata; Lepidosauria; Squamata; Agamidae.
AGAAGUGUGCCCGAACUACAAGGAUUAUUUUGAUAAAAUAGACACAGAGACCAUCAACCUCUCACUUCUU